CCUACGGGAGGCAGCAGUGAGGAAUAUUGGUCAAUGGACGGAAGUCUGAACCAGCCAUGCCGCGUGCAGGAAGACGGCUCUAUGAGUUGUAAACUGCUUUUGUACAAGGGUAAACCUGAAUACGUGUAUUCAGCUGAAAGUACUGUACGAAUAAGGAUCGGCUAACUCCGUGCCAGCAGCCGCGGUAAUACGGAGGAUCCAAGCGUUAUCCGGAUUUAUUGGGUUUAAAGGGUGCGUAGGCGGAUUGAUAAGUUAGAGGUGAAAUGUCCGAGCUUAACUCGGGAACUGCCUCUAAUACUGUUGAUCUAGAGAGUAGAUGCGGUAGGCGGAAUGUAUGGUGUAGCGGUGAAAUGCUUAGAGAUCAUACAGAACACCGAUUGCGAAGGCAGCUUACCAAUCUAUAUCUGACGUUGAGGCACGAAAGCGUGGGGAGCAAACAGGAUUAGAUACCCCAGUAGUC
This 460-nucleotide ribosomal RNA is filed under the name uncultured bacterium. RNAcentral's name for it is "partial 16S ribosomal RNA". It matches the Rfam family "Bacterial small subunit ribosomal RNA", at positions 338 to 795 of the family's 1533-position model. The record is from RNAcentral.